Molecule: long non-coding RNA, 997 nt
Organism: Gorilla gorilla gorilla (western lowland gorilla)
Lineage: Eukaryota; Metazoa; Chordata; Mammalia; Primates; Hominidae
Exons: 4
Source: RefSeq, a predicted model, not a curated record
GCCUGCGGCGGCGAAGCAGCCCCGGGUGGGGGCGUUCGCUGGAAACGGGGCCCCUCUGAAGGGCGUGGGCAGCCGGUGCCUGCAGAGCGUGGAGAGCCGCGGCCGCCUCACCUGACACAGUUGGGCAGCGAUUUCUCAGGUCCAAAGAGCGGACCCCGUGAGCACUUUCCUGACGGAGGACUCGGCUCCUGGGAGCUCCGGCAACAUCAGCGACAGCGGAGCCGGGUCUCAAAAGACCGACCCGGCGGCCUGAGAAGAAGGAAGGAGGCCGAGGCGCCGCAGGGACCCUGGCACCUGCCCCUGACGCAGGAGUGGACGCGAAGGUCCUGAGUAUCACAAAAAGUCCCCAACUCCCAACUUCAGAAGAGGAGGUUAAGUGCUGAUGAAGAGUGAGAUAUUAUCUUUGAGAAACAAGAAAAUCCGUGCUAAGAAGGUGAAGGAAAAAAAAGGCGAGUGAAUAUCGUGAUGGGUGCAGUUAUGCUGAAUAAUUGGAUGGGAGGACGUGCCGGGCGAUCUCCAGCCCCUGGGAGCCGGACGCCCACGCCUCCCUCUGCCUCGUUCUCACAGACACAUUUGUGAGGUGAUUAACUCAGGAAUUCAUGCUGCUCAAAGUAACUACGGUGAGAAUCAGGAUGACCCUCAAAAAUAAAGAAAGGAAGAAUUGCCAUUCAUCGGCUUGGGAAAGAGGAAGAAAGUUACGUGCACCGUCCACCAAGGAAUGAAUGACACCCUGAUUCUGAGCAUCAAGGAAGCAGAAAUGGGAAAUAAAAUCGAUGCUGUACGUGAAUUUUUUCCAGACAAGGUUGUCCCAGAACCAGGUGCUGACCCAGUCCCUUGGAGGCUGGCGGGCUUUACUGACCGCGGCUGCAGAAGCACCUCGCGCUUCCUGGCUGUACUGUAUGUAAACUGAGGUGUGCAUUCUUACCGCUUGUCAAAACAAUCCUGAAAUCCCAUUUUCCUUUAAUAAAGUAUAGUUUUGUCCUCCAGAUGUAUGCUU